GUAACCGGCCCACCAAGGCGACGACGGGUAGCUGGUCUGAGAGGGUGUCCAGCCACACUGGGACUGAGACACGGCCCAGACUCCUACGGGAGGCAGCAGUUAGGAAUCUUGCGCAAUGGACGAAAGUCUGACGCAGCGACGCCGCGUGCGGGAUGAAUGCCUUCGGGUUGUAAACCGCUUUCAGCAGGGACGAAAUUGACGGUACCUGCAGAAGAAGCCCCGGCCAACUACGUGCCAGCAGCCGCGGUAAUACGUAGGGGGCGAGCGUUGUCCGGAUUUAUUGGGCGUAAAGAGCUCGUAGGCGGUUUGGCAAGUCGGAUGUGAAAUCUCCAGGCUCAACCUGGAGGGGUCAUUCGAAACUGCCAUGACUAGAGUUCGGUAGGGGAGUGUGGAAUUCCUGGUGGAGCGGUGAAAUGCGCAGAUAUCAGGAGGAACACCCGUAGCGAAGGCGGCACUCUGGGCCGAUACUGACACUGAGGAGCGAAAGCGUGGGGAGCGAACAGGAUUAGAUACCCUGGUAGUCCACGCCGUAAACGUUGGGCACUAGGUG
RNAcentral lists this ribosomal RNA (550 nucleotides) under uncultured Actinomycetes bacterium. RNAcentral's name for it is "bacterial SSU rRNA". It matches the Rfam family "Bacterial small subunit ribosomal RNA", at positions 256 to 822 of the family's 1533-position model. Lineage: Bacteria; Bacillati; Actinomycetota; Actinomycetes. The record is from RNAcentral.